RNAcentral lists this microRNA (20 nucleotides) under Bos taurus (domestic cattle). Its description in RNAcentral is "bta-miR-12043". Lineage: Eukaryota; Metazoa; Chordata; Mammalia; Artiodactyla; Bovidae. The record is from miRBase by way of RNAcentral.
CCUCCAGGGCUAGGAGGUGG